AUCCAAUUGACGAGUUCCAAAUAGGACGAAGCUCGCAUCCUGGAU
RNAcentral lists this non-coding RNA (45 nucleotides) under Schistosoma margrebowiei. Lineage: Eukaryota; Metazoa; Platyhelminthes; Trematoda; Strigeidida; Schistosomatidae. The record is from RNAcentral.